UAAAAGGGUCGGUUGGCUAUGUAUGCCACGCUCGUCUUUCAAUUGAUGAGUGCUGUAUGGCUAUCAAGACAUAUGGCCGACAUAAUUUGUGGAAUCUGAUGGGGUUGGCUCGCUUGGCCGACCCUACA
Small nuclear RNA from Zingiber officinale, 128 nucleotides. RefSeq annotates it as U11 spliceosomal RNA. The transcript has a single exon. Lineage: Eukaryota; Viridiplantae; Streptophyta; Magnoliopsida; Zingiberales; Zingiberaceae. The record is from RefSeq and is a predicted model, not a curated record.